UACACAUGCAAGUCGAACGAUGAACCACUUCGGUGGGGAUUAGUGGCGAACGGGUGAGUAACACGUGGGCAAUCUGCCCUUCACUCUGGGACAAGCCCUGGAAACGGGGUCUAAUACCGGAUAUGAGCCUGGGAGGCAUCUCCCGGGUUGUAAAGCUCCGGCGGUGAAGGAUGAGCCCGCGGCCUAUCAGCUUGUUGGUGAGGUAAUGGCUCACCAAGGCGACGACGGGUAGCCGGCCUGAGAGGGCGACCGGCCACACUGGGACUGAGACACGGCCCAGACUCCUACGGGAGGCAGCAGUGGGGAAUAUUGCACAAUGGGCGAAAGCCUGAUGCAGCGACGCCGCGUGAGGGAUGACGGCCUUCGGGUUGUAAACCUCUUUCAGCAGGGAAGAAGCGAGAGUGACGGUACCUGCAGAAGAAGCGCCGGCUAACUACGUGCCAGCAGCCGCGGUAAUACGUAGGGCGCAAGCGUUGUCCGGAAUUAUUGGGCGUAAAGAGCUCGUAGGCGGCUUGUCACGUCGAUUGUGAAAGCCCGAGGCUUAACCUCGGGUCUGCAGUCGAUACGGGCUAGCUAGAGUGUGGUAGGGGAGAUCGGAAUUCCUGGUGUAGCGGUGAAAUGCGCAA
This 626-nucleotide ribosomal RNA is filed under the name Actinomycetales bacterium A241. Its description in RNAcentral is "bacterial SSU rRNA". It matches the Rfam family "Bacterial small subunit ribosomal RNA", at positions 50 to 693 of the family's 1533-position model. Lineage: Bacteria; Bacillati; Actinomycetota; Actinomycetes; Actinomycetales. The record is from RNAcentral.